CAGCAGCGCGGUAAUACGUAGGGUGCAAGCGUUAAUCGGAAUUACUGGGCGUAAAGCGUGCGCAGGCGGUUAUAUAAGACAGAUGUGAAAUCCCCGGGCUCAACCUGGGAACUGCAUUUGUGACUGUAUAGCUAGAGUACGGCAGAGGGGGAUGGAAUUCCGCGUGUAGCAGUGAAAUGCGUAGAUAUGCGGAGGAACACCGAUGGCGAAGGCAAUCCCCUGGUCCUGUACUGACGCUCAUGCACGAAAGCGUGGGGAGCAAACAGGAUUAGAUACCCCAGUAGUCCCUGUCUCUUAUACC
This 301-nucleotide ribosomal RNA is filed under the name uncultured bacterium. RNAcentral describes it as "partial 16S ribosomal RNA". It matches the Rfam family "Bacterial small subunit ribosomal RNA", at positions 509 to 808 of the family's 1533-position model. The record is from RNAcentral.